GAUGAACGCUGGCGGCGUGCCUAAUACAUGCAAGUCGAGCGAACGGACGAGAAGCUUGCUUCUCUGAUGUUAGCGGCGGACGGGUGAGUAACACGUGGAUAACCUACCUAUAAGACUGGGAUAACUUCGGGAAACCGGAGCUAAUACCGGAUGAUAUUUUGAACCGCAUGGUUCAAAAGUGAAAGACGGUCUUGCUGUCACUUAUAGAUGGAUCCGCGCUGCAUUAGCUAGUUGGUAAGGUAACGGCUUACCAAGGCAACGAUGCGUAGCCGACCUGAGGGGGAGGGAGCGGAGCAGUGCAGGGUGCCACGGACGAGACUACUACGGGAGGCAGCAGCGCGGUAUGUGACGCAAUGGUCGGAAGAUUGUCAGAGUGAGGUAGUGUGAGAGAUUACGGUCUUCCGAACGUAAAAAUGUGUUACCAGGGCAGAACCAAAGUGCAAGUAAAUGUGCCGGGCUGGACGGUGAGUAAUAAGACAGACACGGCUAAGUAAGUG
Molecule: ribosomal RNA, 497 nt
Filed under: uncultured bacterium
Lineage: Bacteria
Description: partial 16S ribosomal RNA
Rfam family: Bacterial small subunit ribosomal RNA
Source: RNAcentral